This 460-nucleotide ribosomal RNA is filed under the name uncultured bacterium. RNAcentral's name for it is "partial 16S ribosomal RNA". It matches the Rfam family "Bacterial small subunit ribosomal RNA", at positions 338 to 795 of the family's 1533-position model. The record is from RNAcentral.
CCUACGGGAGGCAGCAGUGAGGAAUAUUGGUCAAUGGACGAGAGUCUGAACCAGCCAAGUAGCGUGAAGGAUGACUGCCCUAUGGGUUGUAAACUUCUUUUAUAUGGGAAUAAAACGUUCCACGUGUGGGCUUUUGUAUGUACCAUAUGAAUAAGGAUCGGCUCACUCCGUGCCAGCAGCCGCGGUAAUACGGAGGAUCCGAGCGUUAUCCGGCUUUAUUGGGGUUAAAGGGAGCGUAGGUGGAUUGGUAAGUCAGUUGUGAAAGUUUGGGGCUCAACAGGACACUUGCAGUUGAUACUGGCAGGCUUGAGUACAGUAGAGGUGGGCGGAAUUCGUGGUGUAGCGGUGAAAUGCUUAGAUAUCACGAAGAACUCCGAUGGCGAAGGCAGUACACUGGACUGCAACUGACGCUGAGGCGCGAAAGUGUGGGGAUCAAACAGGAUUAGAUACCCGAGUAGUC